UAUGCUUAGCCCUAAACCUAAAUAGUAAACAUAACAAUACUAUUCGCCAGAGAUCUACUAGCAACAGCUUAAAACUCAAAGGACUUGGCGGUGCUUUAUAUCCCUCUAGAGGAGCCUGUUCUGUAAUCGAUAAACCCCGAUAAACCUCACCAGCCCUUGCUAAUACAGCCUAUAUACCGCCAUCUUCAGCAAACCCUAAAAAGGAACCAUAGUAAGCAAAACCAUGGAACAUAAAAACGUUAGGUCAAGGUGUAGCCCAUGGACUGGGAAGAAAUGGGCUACAUUUUCUAGCAUAGAACAAUCACGGAAAUUCUCGUGAAACCGAGAGUGGAAGGAGGAUUUAGUAGUAAAUUAAGAAUAGAGAGCUUAAUUGAAUAAGGCCAUGAAGCACGCACACACCGCCCGUCACCCUCCUCAAGUAUUAAAAUACAUUCAACCAACCCUAUUAUAACUGUACAUACAUAUUAGAGGAGACAAGUCGUAACAAGGUAAGCGUACUGGAAAGUGCGCUUGGACAAAU
Molecule: ribosomal RNA, 520 nt
Filed under: Thoopterus nigrescens (swift fruit bat)
Lineage: Eukaryota; Metazoa; Chordata; Mammalia; Chiroptera; Pteropodidae
Description: partial 12S small subunit ribosomal RNA
Rfam family: Bacterial small subunit ribosomal RNA
Source: RNAcentral